This is a ribosomal RNA of 90 nucleotides. It matches the Rfam family "Archaeal large subunit ribosomal RNA", at positions 1 to 90 of the family's 2987-position model. The record is from Rfam.
UGAACGUGGCUACUGUGCCAGCUGGUGGAUCGCUCGGCUUGAGAGCUGAAGAAGGACGUGCCAAGCUGCGAAAAGCCUGUGGGACCCGCA